UACAGAGGUCCCGAGCGUUGUUCGGAUUCACUGGGCGUAAAGGGUGCGUAGGUGGUGAGGUAAGUCGGAUGUGAAAUCUCCGGGCUUAACCCGGAAAUGGCAUUGGAAACUACCUUGCUAGAGGAUUUGAGGGGGGGAUUGGAAUACUUGGUGUAGCAGUGAAAUGCGUAGAUAUCAAGUGGAACACCAGUGGCGAAGGCGAAUCCCUGGAAAAUACCUGACACUGAGGCACGAAAGCU
This 239-nucleotide ribosomal RNA is filed under the name uncultured bacterium. RNAcentral describes it as "partial 16S ribosomal RNA". It matches the Rfam family "Bacterial small subunit ribosomal RNA", at positions 524 to 761 of the family's 1533-position model. The record is from RNAcentral.